GGAAAGGAACAUCUGGUAGGCGGCCGAGGUAGCCCUCCCUGAUGGAUCACUUCUCCGCCCCCUGGGACAGUAUUACGGCAAACCUCAGUAGGAGCCCGGAGGUUCCCCCCCCCACCCCCCCAGAGCCCUGGAAACAGAAAGCAUCCCUGCUGUGGGAAGGCAGUGAGCAGGCCUGGAGAGCCUCUCUAGCUGGAGAGACCUCAAAGUCUUUACGAAACGUCUUUCUCUCUUAUUUUAUUUUAUGUUAUUUUAUUAAAAAAAGUAAAGUAUUUAUCUAUUUGGAGAGAGAGAGAGAGCGCACAAGCGGCUGAGGGGGGGAGAGAAGGAGAGACAGAAUCCCAAGCAGGCUCCACGCCAUCAAUGCAGAGCCCGAUGCGGGGCUCGAACUCGUAAACUCGCGACCUGAGCCGAGAUCAGGAGUCAGAGGCGUAAUUGACUGCGCCGCCCAGGUGCCCCGAAACUUCUUACUCUUUUGAACUCUGUCCAGGGAGUGGGGAAAGGCGUUUUUGUCUCUUAUCUGACCCCAUUGUCACCCUGAUGCUCGGGACUGAGGACAAUCUCUAAGGUCUACAGACAGAUGGACAUACGAUUGUUUAUUCAUUCAACAAACAUUCGGUCAAGGGCCCGCUGAAUGCCAGGCAUUGUGCUGCCUAAAUUCCAGCCACGCCAGUCGCCCAAAGGCAACCACGGGUGGUCACACCUCCCCGACGGAACAUCGCGGCCCCCUUCGGGCAGGGACCGCCCCC
Acinonyx jubatus (cheetah) is the source of this 746-nucleotide long non-coding RNA. RefSeq lists it as uncharacterized. NCBI's taxonomy places the organism in Eukaryota, Metazoa, Chordata, Mammalia, Carnivora, Felidae. The record is from RefSeq and is a predicted model, not a curated record. The transcript is spliced from 3 exons.